RNAcentral lists this long non-coding RNA (289 nucleotides) under Phaseolus vulgaris (common bean). RNAcentral's name for it is "long non-coding RNA (PVUL_LNC001613)". Lineage: Eukaryota; Viridiplantae; Streptophyta; Magnoliopsida; Fabales; Fabaceae. The record is from RNAcentral.
GAUGGAGGAGGGCUCAAGCUCACCACACUAUGAAAGCCAAGCUUCCAAGGCUAGACGGUCUAGCCUAUGAUGAGGAGCGUCUAGACUCAAAGAGGAGCGUCUAGCCUAUGAUAAGGAGCGUCUAGGCCAUGAUGAGGAGCGGCUACAUAAGGAGCAUCAAGGAAGAGUCCUAGACCGUAUAGCUUCACAUACACAUGGGACAAGCUACGGUUGAGAAGAGAAGGCCUUGUGCAAGUUACAUGGAGGCCCAUUAGGGGUGCUUAGUAAUUAGAGUAGUGUAGAAAGCAUA